This is a long non-coding RNA of Symphalangus syndactylus (siamang), 249 nucleotides long. RefSeq lists it as uncharacterized. The record is from RefSeq and is a predicted model, not a curated record. NCBI's taxonomy places the organism in Eukaryota, Metazoa, Chordata, Mammalia, Primates, Hylobatidae.
UCAGUCUCAAGCCACUUGGUUGUCAUGGAAACAGGCCGGAAUAGAACAGAUGGUCUCCACUAGCCAAAUUCCAAUUAAACAGGGCAGAGAUGGAUAAGGAAGGGAGUGUGAUAUGACGAGGCUGCAGAGAGCUCAGCCCCCAGGAUGGACGGGAAACCCUGGGUCACCGUUCUUGGAGGGGACAUCAGAAUGGAGCACAGGAGGCACCUGCCCAGACUCUUAUCAUCUCAUCCCAUUGUACAGCUAGGG